GAAACCAUCUCAAAGGCGCUAGAUGAAAUGAAAGUGGUUAAGGCAAUAUCAGCAGAAUGUAGAAUUAUCUUGAAAAGGCCAGACAUGGGCAACUAAUUCAGAUGGUGAGUGGCAAAUGACACAUAUAGACUGGCAUGGAUAUGAUGGAUGUCAACUAGAUAAGAGCAUGCCAACUACUUUAGUUGGGAUGAAUGAACAUUCUGUUCUUGUUUUUCUUCCACUGAAACGACAUUUUGUCCUUGUUAGUCUUGCUGACAGGUCUUGCUCACGUCCACGUUCUGCAGACAAAAGUUCAAAUAUUCUGAAAUUCUACUGCUGAAUAGUACUUCAACAGUUUUGCUA
Lolium perenne is the source of this 342-nucleotide non-coding RNA. NCBI's taxonomy places the organism in Eukaryota, Viridiplantae, Streptophyta, Magnoliopsida, Poales, Poaceae. The record is from RefSeq and is a predicted model, not a curated record.